This 275-nucleotide ribosomal RNA is filed under the name uncultured bacterium. RNAcentral describes it as "partial 16S ribosomal RNA". It matches the Rfam family "Bacterial small subunit ribosomal RNA", at positions 399 to 691 of the family's 1533-position model. The record is from RNAcentral.
GCGUGAGUGAAGAAGGCCUUAGGGUUGUAAAGCUCUUUCACCCGUGAAGAUGAUGACGGUAGCGGGAGAAGAAGCCCCGGCUAACUCCGUGCCAGCAGCCGCGGUAAUACGGAGGGGGCGAGCGUUGUUCGGAAUUACUGGGCGUAAAGGGCGCGUAGGCGGAUGAUCAAGUCAGGGGUGAAAGUCCUGGGCUCAACCUGGGGACUGCCUUUGAAACUGAUUGUCUUGAGACCGGGAGAGGAUGGCGGAAUUCCCAGUGUAGAGGUGAAAUUCGU